This 148-nucleotide non-coding RNA is filed under the name Nomascus leucogenys (northern white-cheeked gibbon). Lineage: Eukaryota; Metazoa; Chordata; Mammalia; Primates; Hylobatidae. The record is from Rfam by way of RNAcentral.
GCCAGGUGUGGUGGUGCAUGCCUGUAAUCCCAGCUACUCACGAGGCUGAGGUGGGAGGAUUGCUCAGGCCCAGGAGGUCAGGGCUGCAGUGAGCCGAGAUGGCACCACUGCACUCCAGCCUGGGUGGCAGAGCAAGAUCCUGUCUCAA